Non-coding RNA from Misgurnus anguillicaudatus (oriental weatherfish), 1106 nucleotides. NCBI's taxonomy places the organism in Eukaryota, Metazoa, Chordata, Actinopteri, Cypriniformes, Cobitidae. The record is from RefSeq and is a predicted model, not a curated record.
CUAAACGUCGUCAGAUGACACUUUACGCUAUUUAGCAUAUUCAUGACGCCAUCGCGUCGUACUUGCAUUCUGUCUAGUCUAGUGUUCCUAACAUCGCUUUUGUUCGUUUUCUUUAUCUUCAUCAGUGUGCUCAAAUCUGCGUUUUACAGUGAUACACCAGACGACGGAAUGAGAAAUGACUGAACGCGACCCAUUUACUGAAAGACGCAGAGUGCCAGCUCAGCAGUUUCAAGGUCAGAAGAUGCAGUCAUAGCCUAAAAACAUCAGAGGCGCUCUAGAAAAACGUGUCCCACUUCCGAACAGCCCAUAUUGGUGUAAGUGCCGUCUGUGUUCAGAAGUCCAGAGUGUCGUGCUGAUAUCGCAGUCGUGGGCUGUUCUCACUGUAGAACUGACUGAACCAGCGUCUGUGUUUCUGUAUGGCCGAGUCUUCCUUCACAAGCAUUGGAUUAGAGAUGUACGUCUUGUUGUUCCAGAUCAUCACAUCUCGUUCAAACUGUUACAGAAAAACAACCACUGUUUUAAACCUGCAUCUUUUGGUCUUGCUGUUGGUGUAGCGGAGAUCAACGCCACUGACGAUUCCUGGAGUGUGGAGAUGAGCCAGAUGUGCAAUAUCUGCGGCAUUUUCUGGAAUUUCCUGAGAAAAGGACAUUGAAAGUCUACAUCUGUAAGACAACUCUCUUUGUUUAUUAUGCUGACCUGAGGAGUUUUAUUAGCCUGCAAUGCAGCGUCUCAGAUGACAAAAUCACAUAAAGACAGUGGAAACAACAAAAGCUUUAUGGUAGAGAAAGGGUAACGGCUUGUCCGAAGUGUUCAUGAGCGCCGUGAAUACGGGAUGAUGCGACGCUUGAUUGACAUCCGCGAUGCCACGCCCACACACGUCAGGUGGUAAAGCGAUGCAGCAGAUUUUGAACGAGCACUUUUACCUCAUGGGCAAAGUGCAUUGUUAUUUAAACAUUUGAUUGUUUGUUAUAAAAGGAAAACAAAUAUUUGAUGUUGAACAAUUUAUGGAGGGGUAUUGGCACUUUGCACAUAGUGCUAAUAUACAGUACAGUAGGCUACUGGUAAAAAAUGUAGGGUUACACACAGUAAUUUAAACCAACUGCUGG